This 492-nucleotide ribosomal RNA is filed under the name uncultured bacterium. Its description in RNAcentral is "partial 16S ribosomal RNA". It matches the Rfam family "Bacterial small subunit ribosomal RNA", at positions 31 to 507 of the family's 1533-position model. The record is from RNAcentral.
AGAGAACGCUGGCGGUAGGCCUAACACAUGCAAGUCGAACGGCAGCACAGUAAGAGCUUGCUCUUACGGGUGGCGAGUGGCGGACGGGUGAGGCAUACAUCGGAAUCUACUUUUUCGUGGGGGAUAACGUAGGGAAACUUACGCUAAUACCGCAUACGACCUACGGGUGAAAGCAGGGGUUCUUCGGACCUUGCGCGAUUGAAUGAGCCGAUGCCGGAUUAGCUAGUUGGCAGGGUAAAGGCCCACCAAGGCGACGAUCCGUAGCUGGUCUGAGAGGAUGAUCAGCCACACUGGAACUGAGACACGGUCCAGACUCCUACGGGAGGCAGCAGUGGGAAAUAUUCGACAAUGGGCGAAAGCCUGAUCCAGCAAUACCGCGUGGGUGAAGAAGGCCUUCGGGUUGUAAAACCCUUUUGUUGGGAAAGAAAAGCAGCAGAUUAAUACCCCGCUGUUCUGACGGUACCCAAAGAGUAAGCACCGGCUAACUUCGUG